GGGAUAACAGGCUGAUACCGCCCAAGAGUUCAUAUCGACGGCGGUGUUUGGCACCUCGAUGUCGGCUCAUCACAUCCUGGGGCUGAAGUAGGUCCCAAGGGUAUGGCUGUUCGCCAUUUAAAGUGGUACGCGAGCUGGGUUUAGAACGUCGUGAGACAGUUCGGUCCCUAUCUGCCGUGGGCGUUGGAAGAUUGAGAGGGGUUGCUCCUAGUACGAGAGGACCGGAGUGAAUGCACCACUGGUGUACGGGUUGUGAUGCCAAUUGCAUUGCCCGGUAGCUAAGUGCGGAAGAGAUAACCGCUGAAAGCAUCUAAGCGGGAAACUUGCCUCGAGAUGAGUCUUCCCUGGGACUUUGAGUCCCCAGAAGGGCCGUUGAAGACGACGACGUAGAUAGGCCGGGUGUGUAAGCGCAGCGAUGCGUUGAGCUAACCGGUACUAAUGACCCGAGAGGCUUAACCUUACAACACCGAAGGUGUUU
RNAcentral lists this ribosomal RNA (478 nucleotides) under Brenneria goodwinii. Its description in RNAcentral is "partial 23S ribosomal RNA". It matches the Rfam family "Bacterial large subunit ribosomal RNA", at positions 2471 to 2925 of the family's 2925-position model. Lineage: Bacteria; Pseudomonadati; Pseudomonadota; Gammaproteobacteria; Enterobacterales; Pectobacteriaceae. The record is from RNAcentral.